GGGGGUAUAGAUCAGUGGUAGAGCAUGUGCAUAGCACGCGUGAGGUCCUGGGUUCAAUCCCCAGUACCUACC
This 72-nucleotide transfer RNA is filed under the name Camelus bactrianus (Bactrian camel). It matches the Rfam family "tRNA". Rfam says of the family: Transfer RNA (tRNA) molecules are approximately 80 nucleotides in length. Their secondary structure includes four short double-helical elements and three loops (D, anti-codon, and T loops). RNAcentral also lists the same sequence under 2 other names. Lineage: Eukaryota; Metazoa; Chordata; Mammalia; Artiodactyla; Camelidae. The record is from Rfam by way of RNAcentral.